UGGGGGAUUAGUGGCGAACGGGUGAGUAACACGUGAGUAACCUGCCCUUGACUCUGGGAUAAGCCUGGGAAACUGGGUCUAAUACCGGAUAUGACUCCUUAUCGCAUGGUGGGGGGUGGAAAGCUUUUGUGGUUUUGGAUGGACUCGCGGCCUAUCAGCUUGUUGGUGGGGUAAUGGCCUACCAAGGCGACGACGGGUAGCCGGCCUGAGAGGGUGACCGGCCACACUGGGACUGAGACACGGCCCAGACUCCUACGGGAGGCAGCAGUGGGGAAUAUUGCACAAUGGGCGAAAGCCUGAUGCAGCGACGCCGCGUGAGGGAUGACGGCCUUCGGGUUGUAAACCUCUUUCAGUAGGGAAGAAGCCGUGAGGUGACGGUACCUGCAGAAGAAGCGCCGGCUAACUACGUGCCAGCAGCCGCGGUAAUACGUAGGGCGCAAGCGUUAUCCGGAAUUAUUGGGCGUAAAGAGCUCGUAGGCGGUUUGUCGCGUCUGCUGUGAAAGACCGGGGCUCAACUCCGGUUCUGCAGUGGGUACGGGCAGACUAGAGUGCAGUAGGGGAGACUGGAAUUCCUGGUGUAGCGGUGAAAUGCGCAGAUAUCAGGAGGAACACCGAUGGCGAAGGCAGGUCUCUGGGCUGUAACUGACGCUGAGGAGCGAAAGCAUGGGGAGCGAACAGGAUUAGAUACCCUGGUAGUCCAUGCCGUAAACGUUGGGCACUAGGUGUGGGGGACAUUCCACGUUUUCCGCGCCGUAGCUAACGCAUUAAGUGCCCCGCCUGGGGAGUACGGCCGCAAGGCUAAAACUCAAAGGAAUUGACGGGGGCCCGCACAAGCGGCGGAGCAUGCGGAUUAAUUCGAUGCAACGCGAAGAACCUUACCAAGGCUUGACAUGAACCGGUAAUACCUGGAAACAGGUGCCCCGCUUGCGGUCGGUUUACAGGUGGGUGCAUGGUUGUCGUCAGCUCGUGUCGUGAGAUGUUGGGGUUAAGUCCCGCAACGAGCGCAACCCUCGUUCUAUGUUGCCAGCGGUUCGGCCGGGGACUCAUAAGAG
RNAcentral lists this ribosomal RNA (1052 nucleotides) under Paenarthrobacter nicotinovorans. RNAcentral describes it as "bacterial SSU rRNA". It matches the Rfam family "Bacterial small subunit ribosomal RNA", at positions 85 to 1147 of the family's 1533-position model. The record is from RNAcentral. Lineage: Bacteria; Bacillati; Actinomycetota; Actinomycetes; Micrococcales; Micrococcaceae.